Molecule: ribosomal RNA, 396 nt
Filed under: uncultured bacterium
Lineage: Bacteria
Description: partial 16S ribosomal RNA
Rfam family: Bacterial small subunit ribosomal RNA
Source: RNAcentral
AUACGUAGGGGGCGAGCGUUGUCCGGAAUGAUUGGGCGUAAAGGGCGCGUAGGCGGCCCGGUAAGUCUGGAGUGAAAGUCCUGUUUUUAAGAUGGGAAUUGCUUUGGAUACUGUCGGGCUUGAGUGCAGGAGAGGUAAGUGGAAUUCCCAGUGUAGCGGUGAAAUGCGUAGAUAUUAGGAGGAAAACCAGUGGCGAAGGCGGAUUGCUGGACAGCAACUGACGGUGAGGAGCGAAAGUGUGGGGAGCAAACAGGAUUAGAUACCCUGGUAGUCCACACUGUAAACGAUGAAUACUAGGUGUGCGGGGACUGACCCCCUGCGUGCCGGCGUUAACACAAUAAGUAUUCCACCUGGGGAGUACGAUCGCAAGGUUGAAACUCAAAUGAAUUGACGGGG